GACCCGAAACCCGGUGAUCUAGCCAUGGGCAGGUUGAAGGUUGGGUAACACUAACUGGAGGACCGAACCGACUAAUGUUGAAAAAUUAGCGGAUGACUUGUGGCUGGGGGUGAAAGGCCAAUCAAACCGGGAGAUAGCUGGUUCUCCCCGAAAGCUAUUUAGGUAGCGCCUCGUGAAUUCAUCUCCGGGGGUAGAGCACUGUUUCGGCAAGGGGGUCAUCCCGACUUACCAACCCGAUGCAAACUGCGAAUACCGGAGAAUGUUAUCACGGGAGACACACGGCGGGUGCUAACGUCCGUCGUGAAGAGGGAAACAACCCAGACCGCCAGCUAAGGUCCCAAAGUCAUGGUUAAGUGGGAAACGAUGUGGGAAGGCCCAGACAGCCAGGAUGUUGGCUUAGAAGCAGCCAUCAUUUAAAGAAAGCGUA
RNAcentral lists this ribosomal RNA (427 nucleotides) under Escherichia coli. RNAcentral describes it as "partial 23S ribosomal RNA". It matches the Rfam family "Bacterial large subunit ribosomal RNA", at positions 712 to 1136 of the family's 2925-position model. The record is from RNAcentral. Lineage: Bacteria; Pseudomonadati; Pseudomonadota; Gammaproteobacteria; Enterobacterales; Enterobacteriaceae.